RNAcentral lists this transfer RNA (75 nucleotides) under Cytophagales bacterium. RNAcentral describes it as "tRNA-Thr". It matches the Rfam family "tRNA". From Rfam's summary of the family: Transfer RNA (tRNA) molecules are approximately 80 nucleotides in length. Their secondary structure includes four short double-helical elements and three loops (D, anti-codon, and T loops). The record is from RNAcentral. Lineage: Bacteria; Pseudomonadati; Bacteroidota; Cytophagia; Cytophagales.
GCCAUCGUAGCUCAAUGGUAGAGCAAAUCCCUUGUAAGGAUGAGGUUGGGGGUUCAAGUCCUCUCGGUGGCUCCA